This 529-nucleotide ribosomal RNA is filed under the name uncultured bacterium. RNAcentral's name for it is "bacterial SSU rRNA". It matches the Rfam family "Bacterial small subunit ribosomal RNA", at positions 777 to 1304 of the family's 1533-position model. The record is from RNAcentral.
AAUAGAUACCCUGGUAGUCCACGCCGUAAACGAUGAGUGCUAAGUGUUAGAGGGUUUCCGCCCUUUAGUGCUGCAGCUAACGCAUUAAGCACUCCGCCUGGGGAGUACGGUCGCAAGACUGAAACUCAAAGGAAUUGACGGGGGCCCGCACAAGCGGUGGAGCAUGUGGUUUAAUUCGAAGCAACGCGAAGAACCUUACCAGGUCUUGAUAUCCUCUGACAACUCUAGAGAUAGAGCGUUCCCCUUCGGGGGACAGAGUGACAGGUGGUGCAUGGUUGUCGUCAGCUCGUGUCGUGAGAUGUUGGGUUAAGUCCCGCAACGAGCGCAACCCUUGAUCUUAGUUGCCAGCAUUUAGUUGGGCACUCUAAGGUGACUGCCGGUGACAAACCGGAGGAAGGUGGGGAUGACGUCAAAUCAUCAUGCCCCUUAUGACCUGGGCUACACACGUGCUACAAUGGAUGGUACAAAGGGCUGCAAGACCGCGAGGUCAAGCCAAUCCCAUAAAACCAUUCUCAGUUCGGAUUGUAGG